GUUCCAUUAGCUCAGUUGGGAGAGCACUCGACUUUUAAUCGAGGGGUCAUGGGUUCAAGCCCCAUAUGGAGCA
This 73-nucleotide transfer RNA is filed under the name Acetatifactor sp. RNAcentral describes it as "tRNA-Lys". It matches the Rfam family "tRNA". From Rfam's summary of the family: Transfer RNA (tRNA) molecules are approximately 80 nucleotides in length. Their secondary structure includes four short double-helical elements and three loops (D, anti-codon, and T loops). RNAcentral also lists the same sequence under 1 other name. Lineage: Bacteria; Bacillati; Bacillota; Clostridia; Lachnospirales; Lachnospiraceae. The record is from RNAcentral.